CCAUUGCUGUACGUUGUGCGUGCAGGACUCGCUGGGUGCAACCAGCGGGAAGAGGGUGGCAAUAACAGGUCUGUGAUGCCCUUAGAUGUUCUGGGCCGCACGCGCGCUACACUGACAGAGGCAGCGAGUGGACCGGUGGCACGAGAGUGCUGCCUAAUCUGCAAGCUCUGUCGUGCUGGGGAUAGACCAUUGCAAUUGUUGGUCUUGAACGAGGAAUUCCUAGUAAGCGCAAGUCAUCAGCUUGCGUUGAUUAUGUCCCUGCCCUUUGUACACACCGCCCGUCGCUACUACCGAUUGAAUGUGCUAAUGAGGCCUGGGGAGCUGCGCUUUGGUGCGGUGAACCCGGACGAAUUGGGACAUUUAGAGGAAGUAAAAGUCG
RNAcentral lists this ribosomal RNA (379 nucleotides) under Microsporidia sp. RNAcentral describes it as "SSU rRNA". It matches the Rfam family "Eukaryotic small subunit ribosomal RNA", at positions 1393 to 1791 of the family's 1831-position model. Lineage: Eukaryota; Fungi; Microsporidia. The record is from RNAcentral.